RNAcentral lists this ribosomal RNA (1215 nucleotides) under Escherichia coli. RNAcentral's name for it is "partial 23S ribosomal RNA". It matches the Rfam family "Bacterial large subunit ribosomal RNA", at positions 323 to 1545 of the family's 2925-position model. Lineage: Bacteria; Pseudomonadati; Pseudomonadota; Gammaproteobacteria; Enterobacterales; Enterobacteriaceae. The record is from RNAcentral.
UGUGUGUUAGUGGAAGCGUCUGGAAAGGCGCGCGAUACAGGGUGACAGCCCCGUACACAAAAAUGCACAUGCUGUGAGCUCGAUGAGUAGGGCGGGACACGUGGUAUCCUGUCUGAAUAUGGGGGGACCAUCCUCCAAGGCUAAAUACUCCUGACUGACCGAUAGUGAACCAGUACCGUGAGGGAAAGGCGAAAAGAACCCCGGCGAGGGGAGUGAAAAAGAACCUGAAACCGUGUACGUACAAGCAGUGGGAGCACGCUUCGGCGUGUGACUGCGUACCUUUUGUAUAAUGGGUCAGCGACUUAUAUUCUGUAGCAAGGUUAACCGAAUAGGGGAGCCGAAGGGAAACCGAGUCUUAACUGGGCGUUAAGUUGCAGGGUAUAGACCCGAAACCCGGUGAUCUAGCCAUGGGCAGGUUGAAGGUUGGGUAACACUAACUGGAGGACCGAACCGACUAAUGUUGAAAAAUUAGCGGAUGACUUGUGGCUGGGGGUGAAAGGCCAAUCAAACCGGGAGAUAGCUGGUUCUCCCCGAAAGCUAUUUAGGUAGCGCCUCGUGAAUUCAUCUCCGGGGGUAGAGCACUGUUUCGGCAAGGGGGUCAUCCCGACUUACCAACCCGAUGCAAACUGCGAAUACCGGAGAAUGUUAUCACGGGAGACACACGGCGGGUGCUAACGUCCGUCGUGAAGAGGGAAACAACCCAGACCGCCAGCUAAGGUCCCAAAGUCAUGGUUAAGUGGGAAACGAUGUGGGAAGGCCCAGACAGCCAGGAUGUUGGCUUAGAAGCAGCCAUCAUUUAAAGAAAGCGUAAUAGCUCACUGGUCGAGUCGGCCUGCGCGGAAGAUGUAACGGGGCUAAACCAUGCACCGAAGCUGCGGCAGCGACACUGUGUGUUGUUGGGUAGGGGAGCGUUCUGUAAGCCUGCGAAGGUGGCCUGUGAGGGUUGCUGGAGGUAUCAGAAGUGCGAAUGCUGACAUAAGUAACGAUAAAGCGGGUGAAAAGCCCGCUCGCCGGAAGACCAAGGGUUCCUGUCCAACGUUAAUCGGGGCAGGGUGAGUCGACCCCUAAGGCGAGGCCGAAAGGCGUAGUCGAUGGGAAACAGGUUAAUAUUCCUGUACUUGGUGUUACUGCGAAGGGGGGACGGAGAAGGCUAUGUUGGCCGGGCGACGGUUGUCCCGGUUUAAGCGUGUAGGCUGGUUUUCCAGGCAAAUCCGG